GGGGGUAUAGCUCGGUUGGUAAAGUGCUUGCCUCAAAUGCACAAGGACCUGGGUUCAAUCCCCAGCAGCACCA
This is a non-coding RNA of Ictidomys tridecemlineatus (thirteen-lined ground squirrel), 73 nucleotides long. Lineage: Eukaryota; Metazoa; Chordata; Mammalia; Rodentia; Sciuridae. The record is from Rfam.